RNAcentral lists this ribosomal RNA (253 nucleotides) under uncultured bacterium. RNAcentral's name for it is "partial 16S ribosomal RNA". It matches the Rfam family "Bacterial small subunit ribosomal RNA", at positions 524 to 776 of the family's 1533-position model. The record is from RNAcentral.
UACGUAGGGGGCAAGCGUUGUCCGGAUUUAUUGGGCGUAAAGCGCGUGUAGGCGGCCAGGUAGGUCGGUUGUGAAAAUUGGAGGCUCAACCUCCAGACGCCGGUGGAAACCAUCUAGCUAGAGUCCGGAAGAGGAGAGUGGAAUUCCUGGUGUAGCGGUGAAAUGCGCAGAUAUCAGGAAGAACACCCGUGGCGAAGGCGGCUCUCUGGUACGUGACUGACGCUGAGACGCGAAAGCGUGGGGAGCGAACAGG